Molecule: ribosomal RNA, 1480 nt
Filed under: Clostridiales bacterium 10-3b
Lineage: Bacteria; Bacillati; Bacillota; Clostridia; Eubacteriales
Description: bacterial SSU rRNA
Rfam family: Bacterial small subunit ribosomal RNA
Source: RNAcentral
GGCUCAGGAUGAACGCUGGCGGCAUGCCUAAUACAUGCAAGUCGAACGGAGGAAUCGAGAAAGCUUGCUUUUUUGAGGAAUCAGUGGCGAACGGGUGAGUAACACGUAGGUAACCUGCCCAGAUCACGGGGAUAACGGUUGGAAACGACAGCUAAGACCGGAUAGGUGAUGGCGAGGCAUCUUGUCAUCAUGAAAAGAGCUGAAAGGCUCUGGAGCUGGAUGGACCUGCGGCGCAUUAGCUAGUUGGUGAGGGUAACGGCCCACCAAGGCGAUGAUGCGUAGCCGGCCUGAGAGGGUGCACGGCCACAUUGGGACUGAGACACGGCCCAAACUCCUACGGGAGGCAGCAGUAGGGAAUUUUCGUCAAUGGGGGGAACCCUGAACGAGCAAUGCCGCGUGAGUGAAGAAGGUCUUCGGAUCGUAAAGCUCUGUUGUAAGAGAAAAAGGGCGCAUAUAGGAAAUGAUAUGCGAUUGAUGGUAUCUUACCAGAAAGCCACGGCUAACUACGUGCCAGCAGCCGCGGUAAUACGUAGGUGGCGAGCGUUAUCCGGAAUGAUUGGGCGUAAAGGGUGCGUAGGUGGCACGAUAAGUCUGGAGUAAAAGGGAGCGGCUCAACCGCUGUUGGCUCUGGAAACUGUCGAGCUAGAGAGCAGGAGAGGGCGAUGGAAUUCCAUGUGUAGCGGUAAAAUGCGUAGAUAUAUGGAGGAACACCGGUGGCGAAGGCGGUCGCCUGGCCUGCAACUGACACUGAAGCACGAAAGCGUGGGGAGCAAAUAGGAUUAGAUACCCUAGUAGUCCACGCCGUAAAGCGAUGGAGGACUAAGUGUUGGGGGAACUCAGUGCUGCAGUUAACGCAAUAAGUCCUCCGCCUGGGGAGUAUGCACGCAAGUGUGAAACUCAAAGGAAUUGACGGGGGCCCGCACAAGCGGUGGAGUAUGUGGUUUAAUUCGAAGCAACGCGAAGAACCUUACCAGGUCUUGACAUCCCUUGCAAGUCCACUGGAGACAUGGAGGAGGUCAUCAAGGGAGACAGGUGGUGCAUGGUUGUCGUCAGCUCGUGUCGUGAGAUGUUGGGUUAAGUCCCGCAACGAGCGCAACCCUUGUCGCAUGUUACCAAUAUUGAGUUAGGGACUCAUGCGAGACUGCCGGUGACAAACCGGAGGAAGGUGGGGAUGACGUCAAAUCAUCAUGCCCCUUAUGACCUGGGCUACACACGUACUACAAUGGCGGCUACAAAGAGAAGCGACAUCGUGAGGUGAAGCGGAUCUCAGAAAGGCCGUCCCAGUUCGGAUUGAAGUCUGCAACUCGACUUCAUGAAGUUGGAAUCGCUAGUAAUCGCGAAUCAGCAUGUCGCGGUGAAUACGUUCUCGGGCCUUGUACACACCGCCCGUCAAACCAUGGGAGUCGGAGAUACCCGAAGCCGGUGGCAUAACCGAAAGGAAUGAGCCGUCGAAGGUAGAGCUGAUGACUGGGACGAAGUC